Molecule: unclassified non-coding RNA, 378 nt
Filed under: plant metagenome
Description: partial contains 5.8S ribosomal RNA, internal transcribed spacer 2, and large subunit ribosomal RNA
Rfam family: 5.8S ribosomal RNA (bases 1-105)
Source: RNAcentral
GAAAUGCGAUAAGUAAUGUGAAUUGCAGAAUUCAGUGAAUCAUCGAAUCUUUGAACGCACCUUGCGCUCCUUGGUAUUCCUUGGAGCAUGCCUGUUUGAGUAUCAUGAAAUCUUCAAAGUAAAUCUUUUGUUAACUCAAUUGGUUUCUACUUUGGUAUUGGAGGUCUUUGCAGCUUCACACCUGCUCCUCUUUGUUCAUUAGCUGGAUCUCAGUGUUAUGCUUGGUUCCACUCGGCGUGAUAAGUUAUCUAUCGCUGAGGACACUGUAAAAGGUGGCCAAGGUAAAUGCAGAUGAACCGCUUCUAAUAGUCCAUUGACUUGGACAAUACUUUUAUGAUCUGAUCUCAAAUCAGGUAGGACUACCCGCUGAAUUUAAGC